GAUGAACGCUGGCGGCGUGCCUAAUACAUGCAAGUCGAGCGAACAGACGAGGAGCUUGCUCCUCUGACGUUAGCGGCGGACGGGUGAGUAACACGUGGAUAACCUACCUAUAAGACUGGGAUAACUUCGGGAAACCGGAGCUAAUACCGGAUAAUAUAUUGAACCGCAUGGUUCAAUAGUGAAAGACGGUUUUGCUGUCACUUAUAGAUGGAUCCGCGCCGCAUUAGCUAGUUGGUAAGGUAACAGCUUACCAAGGCAACGAUGCGUAGCCGACCUGAGAGGGUGAUCGGCCACACUGGAACUGAGACACGGUCCAGACUCCUACGGGAGGCAGCAGUAGGGAAUCUUCCGCAAUGGGCGAAAGCCUGACGGAGCAACGCCGCGUGAGUGAUGAAGGUCUUCGGAUCGUAAAACUCUGUUAUUAGGGAAGAACAAAUGUGUAAGUAACUAUGCACGUCCUGACGGUACCUAAUCAGAAAGCCACGGCUAACUACGUG
RNAcentral lists this ribosomal RNA (497 nucleotides) under uncultured bacterium. RNAcentral's name for it is "partial 16S ribosomal RNA". It matches the Rfam family "Bacterial small subunit ribosomal RNA", at positions 28 to 507 of the family's 1533-position model. The record is from RNAcentral.